GAAGAUCUGUGGUGUACGUGACAUAUACACUGUGUUGACCGAACAUUUUUCUUUAGAUAUAGGGAACCAAUUCGGCUGACUUAUGACAGGCCUUUUCACUUGGUAGUCAGCGGUUAGUCGUUAGGUGCCCACCUGCUUAGAUUGCGGGUUCAAAACAUCUAUAUGACCAAACGGCACUAACGGAUUUGGG
Non-coding RNA from Abiotrophia defectiva ATCC 49176, 190 nucleotides. It matches the Rfam family "6S / SsrS RNA". Rfam says of the family: E. coli 6S RNA was the first non coding RNA to be sequenced, but its function was unknown until recently. NCBI's taxonomy places the organism in Bacteria, Bacillati, Bacillota, Bacilli, Lactobacillales, Aerococcaceae. The record is from Rfam.